CGUCCACUGCGUUUGCGUGAGUCCUAUAUUUCCUUGAACCAAUGCGCAUUGCGCCCGGGCUUGGAACAUAUCCUCUGCAGGUGUGAUCAUCUCGCGUCAGAUGAACCCGAAGCUUGGCUGACCUCGCCCACCUGAACCUCCGGUUCAGGAAUGCGGCUCACGGCUCGCGGUGGACAC
Molecule: non-coding RNA, 177 nt
Filed under: Paucibacter sp. KCTC 42545
Lineage: Bacteria; Pseudomonadati; Pseudomonadota; Betaproteobacteria; Burkholderiales; Sphaerotilaceae
Description: 6S / SsrS RNA
Rfam family: 6S / SsrS RNA
About the family: E. coli 6S RNA was the first non coding RNA to be sequenced, but its function was unknown until recently. It consists of 184 nucleotides that fold into an extended hairpin structure with a large single-stranded internal bulge.
Source: Rfam by way of RNAcentral